CCUACGGGAGGCAGCAGUGGGGAAUAUUGGACAAUAGGCGAAAGCCUGAUCCAGCCAUGCCGCGUGUGUGAAGAAGGUCUUCGGAUUGUAAAGCACUUUAAGUUGGGAGGAAGGGCUGUUACCGAAUACGUGACAGUUUUGACGUUACCGACAGAAUAAGCACCGGCUAACUUCGUG
Molecule: ribosomal RNA, 177 nt
Filed under: uncultured Pseudomonas sp.
Lineage: Bacteria; Pseudomonadati; Pseudomonadota; Gammaproteobacteria; Pseudomonadales; Pseudomonadaceae
Description: partial 16S ribosomal RNA
Rfam family: Bacterial small subunit ribosomal RNA
Source: RNAcentral